CCCCUAGUAACGGCGAGUGAAGCGGGAAAAGCCCAGCGCCGAACCUUCGAGCUCUUUCAGUUCGACGGAGUGUGGCGUUCAGGACCGUUGUCAAGCUUGUUCGAAGACGUCCAAGUUCCCUUGAAUGGGACUUCCCAUAGAGGGUGUCAGGCCCGUAUGGCGUUCUUCUGCGAGUGGAUGGCGGAUUCUAAGAGUCGGGUUGUUUGGGAAUGCAGCCCAAAGUGGGUGGUAAACUCCAUCUAAGGCUAAAUAUUCGGACGAGACCGAUAGCGAACAAGUACCGUGAGGGAAAGUUGAAAAGCACUCUGAAGAGAGAGUUCAAUAGUACGUGAAACCGUUGAGAGGUAAACGGUGAAGGCAUUAAUUAACAUGGCGAGCAACAUUCAACUCUUCGGUCGUCGAACUGGGCGUUGUGGUACCGCAAGGGCCCGGCGUUUAGUCUCGGCGAUUGGGGUGUGCACUUUUUGCUCGCCUGUGUCACGACCCGUUGUUCGGAGGUGAUAGAUCCGCGGUUGUGAAAUUGAACGACUUCGGUUGUUUGGUUUUUUCUGCGAGACGGCGACCUCUGGGCGACGGUGCUAGUGUGGAGCGUCCUCUCUUUCAGGGCGUCGGCCCGUUUCGUGUUGCGGCUGCCUCGCCUUGGACUGCUUGCAGUGCUUGGCUUGUAGUGGUUGUGAACGGAGCGGUUUUCGGCGGUGGCGUUCCCGGUCAGUGGCUACGCAUGUCCUUCACCGACCCGUCUUGAAACACGGACCAAGGAGUCUAACAUGUGUGCGAGUCUCAAGGGAGUUGUAAAACCCGCAGGCGUAAUGAAAGUGAAGGUCGUCGUUGGAUGUCCGAGGCGGGAGGCCCUGCUUCGGUGGGGUUGCACCGCCGUCCCGUCCAUUGAGCCUCGUCUCACGGGCGGAGAAUGAGCAUACACGUUGGGACCCGAAAGAUGGUGAACUAUGCCUGAACAGGAUGAAGCCAGGGGAAACCCUGGUGGAGGUCCGUAGCGAUUCUGACGUGCAAAUCGAUCGUCUGAUUUGGGUAUACGGGCGA
Molecule: ribosomal RNA, 1041 nt
Filed under: Protodrilus sp. 4 MDD-2014
Lineage: Eukaryota; Metazoa; Annelida; Polychaeta; Protodrilidae
Description: eukaryotic LSU rRNA
Rfam family: Eukaryotic large subunit ribosomal RNA
Source: RNAcentral